UGUGAGCUAAUGAAAGCAAAAGCCUGUGUUCACUAGAGUAUAAAAUUCACAUUUGGCCAGUGCAGGCUGUGCAAUCUGAUAUUAUGAGGCUGUCCGACACACACACAGGCACAUAUACACACACACAGCAGCAAGGAAAAGAGCUAAAAAGACACGGAGAAAGACAAAAGGCGAAUAAUAUUUGAAGGAUUGUGUCCUGGGAUUUCGAAAGAAACGCUGAGUUUGUUUCAAGAUGGCAGCCGUGCAGGACAACGUUGGCUCUGCUGAAGAUACAGGCGAAAUAAGGUCAGAAUUCACAAAGCUUGAACAAUCCAACGCAGCGAACUGCAAAACUUGUCGCAGGAGCUUGCAUUUCUGGCCUGAUGCAUUCAUAAAUGGAAGUCUGUGGGGAGAAAAGUGCAGUGUGACCGCAGCUUGAAUGAAUGAAUGAAUAAAUACAUUCUCAUGGACUUAUUGUAUAAUCAACUGUAUUUUGAGUAAAAAUGUGCAUAGCAUAAAUAAAAUUUAAAUGAAUG
Molecule: non-coding RNA, 515 nt
Organism: Danio rerio (zebrafish)
Lineage: Eukaryota; Metazoa; Chordata; Actinopteri; Cypriniformes; Danionidae
Source: RefSeq, a predicted model, not a curated record